UGAAGGCCUGGCUUUUGUUGGGUUGGAUGAGUGGCGAACGGGUGAGUAACACGUGAGUAACCUGCCCUCUUCUUUGGGAUAACGCCCGGAAACGGGUGCUAAUACUGGAUAUUCACUGAUCUUCGCAUGGGGGUUGGUGGAAAGGUUUGUUCUGGUGGGGGAUGGGCUCGCGGCCUAUCAGCUUGUUGGUGGGGUGAUGGCCUACCAAGGCUUUGACGGGUAGCCGGCCUGAGAGGGUGACCGGUCACAUUGGGACUGAGAUACGGCCCAGACUCCUACGGGAGGCAGCAGUGGGGAAUAUUGCACAAUGGGCGAAAGCCUGAUGCAGCGACGCCGCGUGAGGGAUGGAGGCCUUCGGGUUGUAAACCUCUUUCGCUCAUGGUCAAGCCGCAACUGUGGGUUGUGGUAAGGGUAGUGGGUAAAGAAGCGCCGGCUAACUACGUGCCAGCAGCCGCGGUAAUACGUAGGGCGCGAGCGUUGUCCGGAAUUAUUGGGCGUAAAGGGCUUGUAGGCGGUUGGUCGCGUCUGCCGUGAAAUUCUCUGGCUUAACUGGGGGCGUGCGGUGGGUACGGGCUGACUUGAGUGCGGUAGGGGAGACUGGAACUCCUGGUGUAGCGGUGGAAUGCGCAGAUAUCAGGAAGAACACCGGUGGCGAAAGCGGGUCUCUGGGCCGUUACUGACGCUGAGGAGCGAAAGCGUGGGGAGCGAACAGGAUUAGAUACCCUGGUAGUCCACGCUGUAAACGUUGGGCACUAGGUGUGGGGGCCACCCGUGGUUUCUGCGCCGUAGCUAACGCUUUAAGUGCCCCGCCUGGGGAGUACGGCCGCAAGGCU
This 833-nucleotide ribosomal RNA is filed under the name uncultured Actinomyces sp. RNAcentral's name for it is "bacterial SSU rRNA". It matches the Rfam family "Bacterial small subunit ribosomal RNA", at positions 67 to 895 of the family's 1533-position model. Lineage: Bacteria; Bacillati; Actinomycetota; Actinomycetes; Actinomycetales; Actinomycetaceae. The record is from RNAcentral.